GACAGAGGGUGCAAACGUUGUUCGGAUUUACUGGGCGUAAAGCGCGUGUAGGCGGCUUGGCAAGUCGGAUGUGAAAGCCCACGGCUCAACCGUGGAAGCGCAUCCGAAACGGCCUCGCUCGAGUCUCGGAGAGGAAGGUGGAAUGCUUGGUGUAGAGGUGAAAUUCGUAGAUAUCAAGCAGAACACCUGCGGCGAGGGCGGCCUUCUGGACGAUGACUGACGCUGAGACGCGAAAGCGUGGGGAGCAAACAGG
Molecule: ribosomal RNA, 253 nt
Filed under: uncultured bacterium
Lineage: Bacteria
Description: partial 16S ribosomal RNA
Rfam family: Bacterial small subunit ribosomal RNA
Source: RNAcentral